GUCUGGCUGGUUCAGUGGGUAGAGCAUGACACUCUCGAUCUCAAGGGUGUGGGUUCGAGCCCCAUGUUGAGUA
This is a transfer RNA of Felis catus (domestic cat), 73 nucleotides long. It matches the Rfam family "tRNA". Rfam says of the family: Transfer RNA (tRNA) molecules are approximately 80 nucleotides in length. The record is from Rfam. NCBI's taxonomy places the organism in Eukaryota, Metazoa, Chordata, Mammalia, Carnivora, Felidae.